UACAGAGGGUGCGAGCGUUAAUCGGAAUUACUGGGCGUAAAGGGCGCGUAGGCGGAUAGAUAAGUUAGAUGUGAAAUCCCUGGGCUUAACCUGGGAAUGGCAUUUAAGACUGUGUAUCUAGAGUAGAGUAGAGGGAAGUGGAAUUUCCGGUGUAGCGGUGAAAUGCGUAGAGAUCGGAAAGAACACCAGUGGCGAAGGCGGCUUCCUGGACUCAUACUGACGCUGAGGCGCGAAAGCGUGGGGAGCAAACAGG
Molecule: ribosomal RNA, 253 nt
Filed under: uncultured bacterium
Lineage: Bacteria
Also listed under: 1 other name
Description: partial 16S ribosomal RNA
Rfam family: Bacterial small subunit ribosomal RNA
Source: RNAcentral